UGUCUUGUAGCUCAGUGGUAGAGCACAUGCUUUGGAUGUAUAAGGCCCCGGGUUCAAUCCUAGGCAUCUCUG
This 72-nucleotide transfer RNA is filed under the name Lepisosteus oculatus (spotted gar). It matches the Rfam family "tRNA". Rfam says of the family: Transfer RNA (tRNA) molecules are approximately 80 nucleotides in length. Their secondary structure includes four short double-helical elements and three loops (D, anti-codon, and T loops). The record is from Rfam by way of RNAcentral. Lineage: Eukaryota; Metazoa; Chordata; Actinopteri; Semionotiformes; Lepisosteidae.